ACUGAACGCUGGCGGCAGGCCUAACACAUGCAAGUCGAGCGGAUGAAGGGAGCUUGCUCCUGGAUUCAGCGGCGGACGGGUGAGUAAUGCCUAGGAAUCUGCCUGGUAGUGGGGGAUAACGUCCGGAAACGGGCGCUAAUACCGCAUACGUCCUGAGGGAGAAAGUGGGGGAUCUUCGGACCUCACGCUAUCAGAUGAGCCUAGGUCGGAUUAGCCAGUUGGUGGGGUAAAGGCCUACCAAGGCGACGAUCCGUAACUGGUCUGAGAGGAUGAUCAGUCACACUGGAACUGAGACACGGUCCAGACUCCUACGGGAGGCAGCAGUGGGGAAUAUUGGACAAUGGGCGAAAGCCUGAUCCAGCCAUGCCGCGUGUGUGAAGAAGGUCUUCGGAUUGUAAAGCACUUUAAGUUGGGAGGAAGGGCAGUAAGUUAAUACCUUGCUGUUUUGACGUUACCAACAGAAUAAGCACCGGCUAACUUCGUG
This 484-nucleotide ribosomal RNA is filed under the name uncultured bacterium. RNAcentral's name for it is "partial 16S ribosomal RNA". It matches the Rfam family "Bacterial small subunit ribosomal RNA", at positions 30 to 507 of the family's 1533-position model. The record is from RNAcentral.